RNAcentral lists this ribosomal RNA (497 nucleotides) under uncultured bacterium. Its description in RNAcentral is "partial 16S ribosomal RNA". It matches the Rfam family "Bacterial small subunit ribosomal RNA", at positions 30 to 523 of the family's 1533-position model. The record is from RNAcentral.
AUUGAACGCUGGCGGUAUGCUUAACACAUGCAAGUCGAACGGUAACAGGCCUUCGGGCGCUGACGAGUGGCGGACGGGUGAGUAACGCGUAGGAAUCUGCCUCAUAGUGGGGGACAACGUGUGGAAACGCACGCUAAUACCGCAUACGCCCUACGGGGGAAAGCGGGGGACCUUCGGGCCUCGCGCUAUGAGAUGAGCCUGCGUUAGAUUAGCUAGUUGGUAGGGUAAAGGCCUACCAAGGCGACGAUCUAUAGCUGGUCUGAGAGGACGAUCAGCCACACUGGGACUGAGACACGGCCCAGACUCCUACGGGAGGCAGCAGUGGGGAAUAUUGGACAAUGGGCGCAAGCCUGAUCCAGCAAUACCGCGUGUGUGAAGGAGGCCCUAGGGUUGUAAAGCACUUUCAAUAGGGAGGAAAACCUGUCGGUCAAUACCCGGCAGCUUGACAUUACCUAUACAAGAAGCACCGGCUAACUCCGUGCCAGCAGCCGCCGUAA